This 398-nucleotide ribosomal RNA is filed under the name uncultured bacterium. RNAcentral describes it as "partial 16S ribosomal RNA". It matches the Rfam family "Bacterial small subunit ribosomal RNA", at positions 360 to 776 of the family's 1533-position model. The record is from RNAcentral.
AAUAUUGCACAAUGGAGGAAACUCUGAUGCAGCGACGCCGCGUGAGUGGAGAAGGUCUNCGUAUCNUNAUACUCUGUCCUCGGCGNCGAUAAUGACGGUAGCCAAGGAGGAAGCCCCGGCUAACUACGUGUCAGCAGCCGCGGUAAUACGUAGGGGGCUAGCGUUGUCCGGAUUUACUGGGCGUAAAGGGUGAGUAGGCGGUUACAUAUGUCAGAUGUAAAAGGCUAAGGCUUAACCAUAGUAUGCAUUUGAAACUGUGUGACUUGAGUACAGGAGAGGUAAGCGGAAUUCCUAGUGUAGCGGUGAAAUGCGUAGAUAUUAGGAGGAACACCAGUGGUGAAGGCGGCUUACUGGACUGUAACUGACGCUGAGUCACGAAAGCGUGGGUAGCAAACAGG